GACGAACGCUGGCGGCGUGCUUAACACAUGCAAGUCGAACGGAAAGGCCCCCUUGUGGGGUACUCGAGUGGCGAACGGGUGAGUAACACGUGAGUAACCUACCCUUGACUUUGGGAUAACUUCAGGAAACUGGGGCUAAUACCGGAUAGGAGCUCCUGCUGCAUGGUGGGGGUUGGAAAGUUUCGGCGGUUGGGGUUGGACUCGCGGCUUAUCAGCUUGUUGGUGGGGUAGUGGCUCACCAAGGCUUUGACGGGUAGCCGGCCUGAGAGGGUGACCGGCCACAUUGGGACUGAGAUACGGCCCAGACUCCUACGGGAGGCAGCAGUGGGGAAUAUUGCGCAAUGGGCGGAAGCCUGAUGCAGCAACGCCGCGUGCGGGAUGACGGCCUUCGGGUUGUAAACCGCUUUCGCCUGUGACGAAGCGUGAGUGACGGUAAUGGGUAAAGAAGCACCGGCUAACUACGUG
This 465-nucleotide ribosomal RNA is filed under the name uncultured bacterium. RNAcentral's name for it is "partial 16S ribosomal RNA". It matches the Rfam family "Bacterial small subunit ribosomal RNA", at positions 28 to 507 of the family's 1533-position model. The record is from RNAcentral.